This is a non-coding RNA of Oryza nivara, 209 nucleotides long. The record is from Rfam. Lineage: Eukaryota; Viridiplantae; Streptophyta; Magnoliopsida; Poales; Poaceae.
AAAAAAUAAAAUCCUGGUUUCCGUGUCUAACGUUUGUCGACCGUCCGUCUUAUUUAAAAAAAUUAUGAAAAAAAGUUAAAAAGACAAGUCACGCAUAAAAUAUUAAUCAUGUUUUAUCAUCUAACAACAAUGAAAAUACGAAUUAUAAAAAAAUUUCAUAUAAGACGGACGGUUAAAGUUGGACACGGAAAGCCAGGGUUUGCUUUUUU